RNAcentral lists this ribosomal RNA (643 nucleotides) under uncultured bacterium. Its description in RNAcentral is "bacterial SSU rRNA". It matches the Rfam family "Bacterial small subunit ribosomal RNA", at positions 232 to 885 of the family's 1533-position model. The record is from RNAcentral.
CGCGGCCUAUCAGCUUGUUGGUGGGGUAAUGGCCUACCAAGGCGACGACGGGUAGCCGGCCUGAGAGGGCGACCGGCCACACUGGGACUGAGACACGGCCCAGACUCCUACGGGAGGCAGCAGUGGGGAAUAUUGCACAAUGGGCGGAAGCCUGAUGCAGCGACGCCGCGUGAGGGAUGACGGCCUUCGGGUUGUAAACCUCUUUCAGCAGGGACGAAGCGCAAGUGACGGUACCUGCAGAAGAAGCACCGGCUAACUACGUGCCAGCAGCCGCGGUAAUACGUAGGGUGCGAGCGUUGUCCGGAAUUACUGGGCGUAAAGAGUUCGUAGGCGGUUUGUCACGUCGUGUGUGAAAUUCCGGGGCUUAACUCCGGGCGUGCAGGCGAUACGGGCAUAACUUGAGUGCUGUAGGGGAGACUGGAAUUCCUGGUGUAGCGGUGAAAUGCGCAGGUAUCAGGAGGAACACCGAUGGCGAAGGCAGGUCUCUGGGCAGUUACUGACGCUGAGGAGCGAAAGCAUGGGUAGCGAACAGGAUUGGAUACCCUGGUAGUCCAUGCCGUAAACGGUGGGCGCUAGGCGUAGGGGGCUUCCACGUCUUCUGUGCCGUAGCUAACGCAUUAAGCGCCCCGCCUGGGGAGUACGG